RNAcentral lists this unclassified non-coding RNA (374 nucleotides) under fungal sp. RNAcentral's name for it is "partial internal transcribed spacer region". The stretch from base 1 to 46 matches the Rfam family "Eukaryotic small subunit ribosomal RNA", at positions 1786 to 1831 of the family's 1831-position model. Lineage: Eukaryota; Fungi. The record is from RNAcentral.
AAGUCGUAACAAGGUUUCCGUAGGUGAACCUGCGGAAGGAUCAUUAACACGUAUCAAACGUUAAACCCCCCCGUGAAUAUUAAGCGUGCUCUUACAUCCUUGCACAACAGCAAUCUCUGGUAAAUCAUGUCGAACGGUUUGAUUCAGAGACCUCUGGGAUGCUAAAGGUGUAAUCGAGCGCUAGGUUCAGUGGUUUGGUCUUCCCCUCAAACCACUUCAAUGAAUGUCAGUGUCAUUGAAGUGUGAUGGGGAAGUCGAGCCGGCGUCCAAAUCACCAGGCGCAAGCCUCCCUAAAACUACAUGUCAGCGUAGGCCCUUCUGUCGUGGUUGGGCGUAAAAACGAACAACUGUUAACAAUGGAUAUCUUGGUUCUC